AUUGAACGCUGGCGGAAUGCUUUACACAUGCAAGUCGAGCGGCAGCGCGGGGGGCAACCCUGGCGGCGAGCGGCGAACGGGUGAGUAAUACAUCGGAACGUGUCCUUCAAGUGGGGGAUAGCUCGGCGAAAGCCGGAUUAAUACCGCAUAAGCUCUGAGGAGGAAAGCGGGGGACUGGUAACGGCCUCGCGCUGUUGGAGCGGCCGAUGUCGGAUUAGCUAGUUGGUGGGGUAAAGGCCCACCAAGGCGACGAUCCGUAGCUGGUCUGAGAGGAUGAUCAGCCACACUGGAACUGAGACACGGUCCAGACUCCUACGGGAGGCAGCAGUGGGGAAUUUUGGACAAUGGGGGCAACCCUGAUCCAGCCAUUCCGCGUGAGUGAAGAAGGCCU
Molecule: ribosomal RNA, 391 nt
Filed under: uncultured bacterium
Lineage: Bacteria
Description: bacterial SSU rRNA
Rfam family: Bacterial small subunit ribosomal RNA
Source: RNAcentral